AUUGAACGCUGGCGGCAGGCCUAACACAUGCAAGUCGAGCGGUAGAGAGAAGCUUGCUUCUCUUGAGAGCGGCGGACGGGUGAGUAAUGCCUAGGAAUCUGCCUGGUAGUGGGGGAUAACGUUCGGAAACGGACGCUAAUACCGCAUACGUCCUACGGGAGAAAGCAGGGGACCUUCGGGCCUUGCGCUAUCAGAUGAGCCUAGGUCGGAUUAGCUAGUUGGUGAGGUAAUGGCUCACCAAGGCGACGAUCCGUAACUGGUCUGAGAGGAUGAUCAGUCACACUGGAACUGAGACACGGUCCAGACUCCUACGGGAGGCAGCAGUGGGGAAUAUUGGACAAUGGGCGAAAGCCUGAUCCAGCCAUGCCGCGUGUGUGAAGAAGGUCUUCGGAUUGUAAAGCACUUUAAGUUGGGAGGAAGGGCAUUAACCUAAUACGUUAGUGUUUUGACGUUACCGACAGAAUAAGCACCAGCUAACUCUGUGC
RNAcentral lists this ribosomal RNA (485 nucleotides) under uncultured bacterium. RNAcentral's name for it is "bacterial SSU rRNA". It matches the Rfam family "Bacterial small subunit ribosomal RNA", at positions 30 to 508 of the family's 1533-position model. The record is from RNAcentral.